UACGAAGGGGGCUAGCGUUGCUCGGAAUCACUGGGCGUAAAGCGCACGUAGGCGGCUUCUUAAGUCAGGGGUGAAAUCCUGGGGCUCAACCCCAGAACUGCCCUUGAUACUGAGGAGCUUGAGUCCGGGAGAGGUGAGUGGAACUCCGAGCGUAGAGGUGAAAUUCGUAGAGAUUCGGAAGAACACCAGUGGCGAAGGCGGCUCACUGGCCCGGUACUGACGAUGAGGUGCGAAAGCGUGGGGAGCAAACAGG
This 253-nucleotide ribosomal RNA is filed under the name uncultured bacterium. Its description in RNAcentral is "partial 16S ribosomal RNA". It matches the Rfam family "Bacterial small subunit ribosomal RNA", at positions 524 to 776 of the family's 1533-position model. The record is from RNAcentral.